Molecule: ribosomal RNA, 253 nt
Filed under: uncultured bacterium
Lineage: Bacteria
Description: partial 16S ribosomal RNA
Rfam family: Bacterial small subunit ribosomal RNA
Source: RNAcentral
UACGUAGGGUGCGAGCGUUAAUCGGAAUUACUGGGCGUAAAGUGUGCGCAGGCGGCCGCGCAAGUCGAGUGUGAAAGCCCCGAGCUUAACUUGGGAAUUGCGCUCGAAACUACGUGGCUGGAGUGUGGCAGAGGAAGGUGGAAUUCCAGGUGUAGCGGUGAAAUGCGUAGAGAUCUGGAGGAACACCGAUGGCGAAGGCAGCCUUCUGGGCCAACACUGACGCUCAUGUGCGAAAGCGUGGGGAGCAAACAGG